UACGAGGGGUGCAAGCGCUGCUCGGAAUUAUUGGGCGUAAAGGGUAGGUAGGUGGUCUCAUUUGUCUGGGGUGAAAGCCUUGAGCUUAACUCAAGAAGUGCCCUAGAAACGGUGAGACUGGAGUCUUGGAGAGGGUCGUGGAAUUCCCGGUGUAGCGGUGAAAUGCGUAGAGAUCGGGAGGAACACCAGAGGCGAAGGCGGCGACCUGGACAAGUACUGACACUCAACUACGAAAGCGUGGGUAGCAAACAGG
Molecule: ribosomal RNA, 253 nt
Filed under: uncultured bacterium
Lineage: Bacteria
Description: partial 16S ribosomal RNA
Rfam family: Bacterial small subunit ribosomal RNA
Source: RNAcentral